AAACUUUCCAAAGUCACAUAAACAAGAUAAUGGGAGAAAUUUGAGGAAAAAAGUAUAUUAAUCCAAAUAACCUCUUUACCUCCCUUAUCCCACUGGGUGGCGGGCGGUUCUGGGUUCUGAUGAGGGUCUGGGAAGUAGGCGAGGCAGAGGUAGGCGUGCUGGGAUCUGGGGAGGACCCCCAGAGAUGGAAGACACAGACCCCCUAGGAGUGGGAAUCUGCCUUACCCCCUGCUCAAGGCUGAGGCAAGGUUCCUGAGUGGAGCUGAGAAGGUGGCACACAGGAAACAUCACAGGGCUCCAACUCAGCCCAGAGUCCAAGGAAGAGUACCCAGUUAUUUUCCAUUACAGGGAAAUGGUGUUGGCUCAGACACCUGCGGCCUGAAGGGCAGAAGAGCAGUAGAAGUACCUGCCGUGUACAGGCAGAGCCUGGGGUGAGACGCCAAAGCAACCUUCAGCAAUUACCGCAGGGUCCAGAAUCUGCCUACAAGCAAGGACUUCCCUGGCCAGGAGUCAAGGAAGGCAGCCGGCCCUCAGGAGCUGCUGGGGCAGCAAACACUCUUGUCUCACAGCCUCCGGAAGGAAUGCAGCCUCGCCAAGUCUGGGAUGGGACUUGCCAGUUUCUUCUCCCCCACCUUCAAAGCCAGGCACACAGCAGCCACCAACCCUCCCUCCCCUUCAUCACAUCUCUCUAGCUCUGAGGCUCCCCUUUGUAGGGACCUCAUGAUGACCCUGGGUCACACAGCUAACCCAGGGUGACCCCAUCUCAACAGUCUUGCUUAGCCACAUCAGCAAAGCCCCUUCCGUGGUGGGAGGCAGCAUUCACAGCGCUCGGGGGCCAGGAUGUGGACACCUCAGGACACCCUUAUCUGCCUACCACAGAACAGCAGACACAAAAUGAACGGAGACCAGGAAAGAACUGGAAACCAGGUUCACUGCAGCUCCUUCGCCCUGACCCUUCAGUCAGCCCACAUCCUGGUGACUCUUCAAGAUGUGCACCAUGAGAGGCUCCAAUCUGUCACUGCUGGGGGCCUUGUGCCGAGGCACCAUGGGAAAACAAUUGUAGUCUGUCACACCAGGCCGGCUCUCUCUUUUAAAUAAGUAAAUAUCCAUCUGGCAUCUGAGG
RNAcentral lists this long non-coding RNA (1123 nucleotides) under Marmota monax (woodchuck). The record is from RNAcentral. Lineage: Eukaryota; Metazoa; Chordata; Mammalia; Rodentia; Sciuridae.